This 253-nucleotide ribosomal RNA is filed under the name uncultured bacterium. RNAcentral's name for it is "partial 16S ribosomal RNA". It matches the Rfam family "Bacterial small subunit ribosomal RNA", at positions 524 to 776 of the family's 1533-position model. The record is from RNAcentral.
GACAGAGGCCUCAAGCGUUAGGCGGAAUCACUGGGCUUAAAGCGUGUGUAGGCGGAUCGUUAAGUGUCUUGUGAAAUCCCACGGCUCACCCGUGGAACUGCUGGGCAUACUGGCGAUCUUGGGCCAACUAGGGGCAACUGGAACAAGCGGUGGAGCGGUGAAAUGCGUAGAUAUCGCUUGGAACGCCGAAGGUGAAAACAGGUUGCUGGGGUUGUGCCGACGCUGAGACACGAAAGCCAGGGGAGCAAACGGG